This 468-nucleotide ribosomal RNA is filed under the name uncultured bacterium. RNAcentral's name for it is "partial 16S ribosomal RNA". It matches the Rfam family "Bacterial small subunit ribosomal RNA", at positions 28 to 507 of the family's 1533-position model. The record is from RNAcentral.
GACGAACGCUGGCGGCGUGCUUAACACAUGCAAGUCGAACGGAAAGGCCAUGCUUUUGUUGGGUUCUCGAGUGGCGAACGGGUGAGUAACACGUGAGUAACCUGCCCUUGACUUUGGGGUAACUUCAGGAAACUCGGGCUAAUACCCCAUAGGAGCUCCUGCUGCAUGGUGGGGGUUGGAAAGUUUCGGCGGUUGGGGAUGGACUAGCGGCUUAUCAGCUUGUUGGUCGGGUAGUGGCUUACCAAGGCUUCGACUGGUAGCCGGCCUGAGAGGGUGAACGGCGACAUUGGGACUGCGAUACGGAGCAGACGCCUACGGUAGGCAGCGGUCGGGAAUAUUGCACAAUGGGCCGAAGCCAGAGGCAGCAGCGCCGCGUGCGUGAUGACCUCCUUCGGGUUAAAAACCGCUGUCUCCUGUAACGAGGCGUGAGUGACGGUAAUGGGUAAAGAAGCACCGGCUAACUACGUG